GACGAACGCUGGCGGCGUGCUUAACACAUGCAAGUCGAACGGAAAGGCUCCAGCUUGCUGGAGUACUCGAGUGGCGAACGGGUGAGUAACACGUGGGUAAUCUGCCCUGCACUCUGGGAUAAGCCUGGGAAACUGGGUCUAAUACUGGAUAUGACCUUUCUCCUUAUGGGGUUUGGUGGAAAGUUUUUCGGUGUAGGAUGAGCCCGCGGCCUAUCAGCUUGUUGGUGGGGUGAUGGCCUACCAAGGCGACGACGGGUAGCCGGCCUGAGAGGGUGAUCGGCCACAUUGGGACUGAGCUACGGCCCAGACUCCUACGGGAGGCAGCAGUGGGGAAUAUUGCACAAUGGGCGGAAGCCUGAUGCAGCGACGCCGCGUGAGGGAUGACGGCCUUCGGGUUGUAAACCUCUUUCAGCAGGGACGAAGCGUAAGUGACGGUACCUGCAGAAGAAGCACCGGCUAACUAUGUG
This 467-nucleotide ribosomal RNA is filed under the name uncultured bacterium. Its description in RNAcentral is "partial 16S ribosomal RNA". It matches the Rfam family "Bacterial small subunit ribosomal RNA", at positions 28 to 507 of the family's 1533-position model. The record is from RNAcentral.